RNAcentral lists this ribosomal RNA (484 nucleotides) under uncultured bacterium. RNAcentral describes it as "partial 16S ribosomal RNA". It matches the Rfam family "Bacterial small subunit ribosomal RNA", at positions 30 to 507 of the family's 1533-position model. The record is from RNAcentral.
AUUGAACGCUGGCGGCAGGCCUAACACAUGCAAGUCGAGCGGAUGAAGGGAGCUUGCUCCUGGAUUCAGCGGCGGACGGGUGAGUAAUGCCUAUGAAUCUGCCUGGUAGUGGGGGAUAACGUCCGGAAACGGGCGCUAAUACCGCAUACGUCCUGAGGGAGAAAGUGGGGGAUCUUCGGACCUCACGCUAUCAGAUGAGCCUAGGUCGGAUUAGCUAGUUGGUGGGUUAAAGGCCUACCAAGGCGACGAUCCGUAACUGGUCUGAGAGGAUGAUCAGUCACACUGGAACUGAGACGCGGUCCAGACUACUACGGGAGGCAGCAGUGGGGAAUAUUGGACAAUGGGCGAAAGCCUGAUCCAGCCAUGCCGCGUGUGUGAAGAAGGUCUUCGGAUUGUAAAGAACUUUAAGUUGGGAGGAAGGGCAGUAAGUUAAUACCUUGCUGUUUUGACGUUACCAACAGAAUAAGCACCGGCUAACUUCGUG